This 496-nucleotide ribosomal RNA is filed under the name uncultured bacterium. RNAcentral describes it as "partial 16S ribosomal RNA". It matches the Rfam family "Bacterial small subunit ribosomal RNA", at positions 29 to 507 of the family's 1533-position model. The record is from RNAcentral.
AUGAACGCUGGCGGCGUGCCUCAUCCAUGCCAGUCGAGCGAACAGACGAGGAGCUUGCUCCUCUGACGUUAGCGGCGGACGGGUGAGUAACACGUGGAUAACCUACCUAUAAGACUGGGAUAACUUCGGGAAACCGGAGCUAAUACCGGAUAAUAUAUUGAACCGCAUGGUUCAAUAGUGAAAGACGGUUUUGCUGUCACUUAUAGAUGGAUCCGCGCCGCAUUAGCUAGUUGGUAAGGUAACGGCUUACCAAGGCAACGAUGCGUAGCCGACCUGAGAGGGUGAUCGGCCACACUGGAACUGAGACACGGUCCAGACUCCUACGGGAGGCAGCAGUAGGGAAUCUUCCGCAAUGGGCGAAAGCUUGACGGAGCAACGCCGCGUGAGUGAUGAAGGUCUUCGGAUCGUAAAACUCUGUUAUUAGGGAAGAACAAAUGUGUAAGUAACUAUGCACGUCUUGACGGUACCUAAUCUGAAAGCCACGGCUAACUACGUG